Molecule: long non-coding RNA, 5199 nt
Organism: Orcinus orca (killer whale)
Lineage: Eukaryota; Metazoa; Chordata; Mammalia; Artiodactyla; Delphinidae
Exons: 5
Source: RefSeq, a predicted model, not a curated record
UCACUUAUCCAUACUUUUGCUUCAGUUAUUCUGGUAUUGAUUCCUUCUCAUACAUUUUUCAUUUCCGAUAUUGUAUUGUUCAUCUGUUUGUUUUUUUCCUUAAUUCUUCUAGGUCUUUGUUAAACAUUUCUUGCAUCUUCUCGCUCUUUGCCUCCGUUCUUUUUCCGAGGUCCUCGAUCAUCUCCACUAUCAUUAUUCUGAAUUGUUUUUCUGGAUGGUUUCCUAUCUCCAGUUCAUUUAGUUGUUCUUCUGGGGUUUUAUCUUGUUACUUCAUCUGGUGCAUAGCCCUCUGCAUUUUCAUUUUGUCUAUCUUUCUGUGAAUGUGUUUUUCGUUCCACAGGCUGCAGAAUUGUAGUUCUUCCUGCUUCAGCUCUCUUCCCUCUGGUGGAUUAGGUUAUCUAAGAGGCUUGUGCAAGCUUCCUCUUGGGAGGGACUUGUGGUUGGUAGAGCUGGGUGUUGUUCUGUUGGGCAGAGCUCAGUAAAACUUUAAUCUGCUUGUCUGCUGAUGGGUGGGGCUGAGUUCCCUUCCUGUUAGUUGUUUGGCCUGAGGCGACCCAGCACUGGAGCCUACAGGCUCUCUGGUCAGGCUAAUUGCUGACUCUGGGAGGGCUCAUGACCAGGUGUACUUCCCAGAACUUCUGCUGCCCGUGUCCUUGUCCCUGCAGUGAGUCACAGCCACCCCCUGUCUCUGCAGGAGGCCCUCCACCGCUAGUAGGUUCUGAUUAAAAGACAGCUCUGCCAGCCAUUGUGUCUUAGUUGGAAUGAAAACCCCUUGAAGAGCAGUAUUACUGUGUGUGAACAUAAGUACAAAUAAUUCUGCAGCCUGGAUAUAUCCUCUUAUAUUUUUCCUAGUGUGUUUCACCUCAUGGAAUCACCUGUUGUCUGGAUCUUUAUUUAGCUAAAUUACUGGGGACACAGGUUCGAGCCCUGGUCCAGGAAGAUCCCACGUGCUGCGGAGCAACUAAGCCGUGCGCCACAACUACUGAGCCUGUGCUCUAGAGCCCACAAGUCACAACUACUGAGCCCACAAGCCUCAACUACUGAAGCCCAUGCAACUAGACCCCUUCCUCUGCAACAAGAGAAGCCACCACAAUGAGAAGCCUGUGCACCACAACGAAGAGUAGCCCCCACUCACCACAACUAGAGAAAGCCUGCAUGAAGCAACGAAGACCCAACACAGCCAAAAAAAAAAGGGAUGUGCUAUAGAGAACAAAAACAGAUUUAUAUGAUAAAUUAGUAUGGUUCAGGGAGGUGAGUCAAUAUUUGAAAUGUUGAGGUGAAGUGCCUUAAAUUUCCGAAUGACUUGUUUAAACAAAACAUACCAAAGACUCAGAAAUUAAUAUAGUUAAAAAUAUUUUAUAUACGAAGACAUUACUGAUGUAUCCUACUCUGUUUACUAAAGCAAGGCAAGAUUUUUAAAAUCCCUUCCUGAUGAUUAGAAAAUGUUUUAUUUUGGAUUUCAUUAAAGUACUUUCCUGGAAAUCUAUUUGGACAUCUUAUGGGAUUAUGAUGGAACUUUUAAGAACACUCGAUACGUAUAAAAUUCAUAUAUACAGUAAACUUGACCUUCCUGAAACACAAAAAGCUGAAAAUAAGUUAGGUAAACUUUGGAGAAAUAUAAACACACAGUUAAGAGUCCAGAUACGAGGAGUCAAUCAUUGUUUGAUGUACUGAGGCCCUCAUCUGGAGACAUUCCCUAUGGAAAAGAAGUACAGUGGACCAACUGUAUCUACAGGUCUGCAUCCGUGGAUUUAAUCAACUGAGGAUUCAACUAACUUUUUUUACUGAAAAGUAAAACUUAAAUUUUCCCCAUGCUAGCAACUAUUUACAUGGUAUUUACAUUGUAUUAGCUAUUAUAAGUAAUCUAGAGAUGACUUAAAGUAUACAGGAGGGGGUACUUAGGUUAUAUGCAAAUACUACGUUAAGCCAAUUUAUAUCAGGGACUUGAGCAUCCAUGGACUUUGGAAUCCCUGGGGAUUCUGGAACCAAUCCCAUGUGGAUACUGAGGGCAACUUUAUCUUACAAAUGUGACCUCCCCCUCCAAGACAGAGAGAUGACCUUCAGCCUCACUGGGGACAGCACCACCCACUGCACAAGUGACAGUCAAGGGAUGGGGUUUGAAGCAGCGCCGCCCCUCACUGUGAACUUUCUGGUCCUACUGGUCAGUGCACAUUUCCCCACGAUCCAGAAGGAUCAGUGUAUCUAGAUGAAACCUCCAUGUUUCUAUAGUGACAAUCGUUUUUGCUUGUGAUAUAGCUUUGUUAUGAAUGUCAGAGGCAAAAUUACCUGCAGGAUGAAUAACAGAUGUUUUAGAUGUGCUACAAUCUGUCCCAGUUGGUGGUAUUCUGAUGACCCUUCCCUCUGGAGUGAGGAGGGUGGGAUGGUGAGGAGAGGUGGGAGCAGAGAGAAUAAGUAAAGGCCAGAUUUUACAGGGAAUAUUUUCAAGGCACUGAAAACAAAUGCCAAAGAAAUAGUCUGUCAUGCCAUCUCUACUGAGUUGUCCUUAUACUAGAUAGAUGGGUGCGCAGAGCAAAAAGCACAUGUUGAUGUCAGUAAUUUACUUCAGAACUGAUGAUGUUACUGAGUAUAGGAGAUGGCAGAGUAGGAAGACCCUGAGCUUACCUCUUCUCACGGGACAUCAAAAUUAUAACUAUUUACAGAGAAACUAAUUGAUGAGGAUGACCAGAACCUACUAGAAAAGAGCUUCUACAACUAAAGAUAUAAAGAAGGCAUCACAACAAGAUGGCUAGGAGGGGCAGAGUCAAGACUCUCUCUCAAAAGCUCCAGCUAAAGUUGGCCUGUCUGUCUUCUACUACGCCCUUACCAUCUGAAUCGUCUAGUUCAUCAAAGUCUCCAUGACAUUUCUAAGACACAAGUGAUAAUCUCAUAGUUGGUAAGUUUUAUGAAGAGUUUGCCAAGGAAACCUAGCAUCUUUAACAGUAAGUAUCCACUUAUAAUAAAUGAAAUGUAAAAAGAGAGAUCAAAAUAUCCUAGACUGCAAUUUUAAUUAGAAAGAAAAGAAUAAUGAAUUCAGGCCAUAGUGUAGCAAAACUGGUAUCCUUAUAUGCAUAUAGAGUGAGUGCCUUUUAUCAAAGUUUCUAUACUAUCUUUGAACCAUUAUAAAAACUGAAUCGUUCUUCCUAUUUUAAUGUGUUUGGAGAAGACAAAUUGCUCUUUGUUUUAUAACCUAGGAAUGGCCUUCAGGAUGGUAAUUGUGCCCGUUUGCACAAAUUGAAAGCCACAAAGACCAGUUUUCUAAGCCCAUUUCUGUGAUCUGCCUAUGUGAGAGGAAUAGUUCUGUGGUAGAGUUUCUAAGAGAAUCAGUAGAGUCUGCUGCAUAGAGUAGCUCGUGCCUUGCGCCUCACACAAGAGACAUGCAGGGUCAUGGCGAGCUGAGCAGAGGAGCUCCAGUGUUUGUUCCCACCCACCUGUUGAAAGGCUGCUGUUGGACAAAGGUCACAAACUGCUCUCUCACAGCUUACCUGUAACCCUGUGGUAAUAAGACUAAUAUGCUAGAUUAAACCAGGAGCAGAGGGGAGUUCUUAAAGAUAAGCCUGUGGGGGGUGUUUUUAGUAGCAGAAUUUGUAGUUACAUUUUUUUUUAACAUCUCUAUUGGAGUGUAAUUGCUUUACAAUGAUGUGUUAUGUAGUUAAAUUUUAAAAACUCAUUGGCAAUCUCUAGUAGGACUAUAUAUUAAGAUAGAAUUUAAAGCCUGCAGGUUAGGGACUUCCCUGGUGGCGCAGUGGUUGAAAGCCCACCUGCCAAUGCAGGGAAUGUGGGUUCAAGCCCUGGUCCAGGAAGAUCCCACAUGCCCCGGAGCCACUAAGCCCAGGAGCCACAACUACUGGGCCUGUGCUCUGGAGCCCUCGGGCCACAACUGCUGAGCCUGUGUGCUGCAACUGCUAAGGCCCAUGCACCUGGAGCCCGUGCUCUGCAGCAAGAGAGGCCAUUGCAAUGAGAGGCCCGUGCACUGCGAUGGGGACUGGCCCCCACUUGCUGCAACUAGAGGGAGCCUACAUGCAGCGACGUAGACCCAACGCAGCAAAAAAAAAACAAAAACAUCCCCUGCAGGUUAAAAUAUACACCAUGACCCCCUAAAACUCCUAUAAGAGAACGUCGGCAAAGCAUUCUCUGACAUAAAUCACACUAAUGUUUUCUUAGGCCAGCUCCUAAGGCAAUGGAAAUAAAAGCCAAAAUAAACAAAUGGGACCUAAUCAAACUUAUAAGCUUUUGUACAGCAAACGAAACAAUAAACAAAACAAAAAGACAACCUAUGGACUAGGAGAAAAUAUUUGCAAAUGAUGCGACCAACAAGGGCUUAAUUUCCAAAAUAUACAAACAGCUCAUACAACUCAACAUCAAAAAAACAAACAACUCAAUCGAAAAAUGGGCAGAAGACCUAAAUAGACAUUUCUCCAAAGAAGACAUACAGAUGGCCAAUAGGCACAUGAAAAGAUCCUCAAGCAUUGCUAAUCAUUAGAGAAAUGCAAAUCAAAACUCCAGUGAGGUACCACCUCACACCAGUCAGGAUGACCACCAUUAAAAAGUCUACAAAUAACAAAUGCUGGAGAGGGUGUGGAGAAAAGGGAACCCUCCUACACUGUUAAUGGGAAUGUAUACUGGUGCAGCCACUAUGGAGAACAGUAUGGAGGUUCCUCAAAAAACUAAAAAUAGAGUUACUAUAUGAUCCAACCAUCCCAAUCCUGGACAUAUACCUAGACGAAACCGUAAUUCAAAAAGAUACACGCAUGCCCUAUGUUCAUAGCAGCACUAUUUACAAUAGCCAAGACAUGGAAACAACCUAAAUGUCAUCGACAGAUGAAUGGAUAAAGAAGAUGUGGCACAUAUAUACAAUGGAAUAUUACUCAGCCAUAAAAAGAAACGAAAUUGAGCUAUUUGUAAUGAGGUGGAUAGACCUAGAGUCUGUCAUACAGAGUGAAGUAAGUCAGAAAGAGAAAGACAAAUACCGUAUGCUAACACAUAUAUAUGGAAUUUAAGAAAAAAAAACAGUCAUGAAGAACGUAGGGGUAAGACAGGAAUAAAGACACAGACCUACUGGAGAACGGACUUGAGGAUAUGGGGAGAGGGAAGGGUGAGCUGUGACAAAGCGAGAGAGAGGCAUGGACAUAUAUACACUAACAAACAUAAGGUAGAUAGCUAGUGGGAAGCAGCCGCAUAGCACAGGGAUAUCAGCUCGGU